AUAUAGCCCUGAUGGGAGCGGCACCUUGUAUAGCGUACAGCAGGAAAAUGA
This 51-nucleotide small RNA is filed under the name Flavobacterium haoranii. RNAcentral describes it as "Flavobacterium sp. LQY-7 Flavo-1 RNA". It matches the Rfam family "Flavo-1 RNA". Lineage: Bacteria; Pseudomonadati; Bacteroidota; Flavobacteriia; Flavobacteriales; Flavobacteriaceae. The record is from Rfam by way of RNAcentral.